Non-coding RNA from Pelobates cultripes (western spadefoot toad), 661 nucleotides. The record is from the annotation of a GenBank genome assembly. NCBI's taxonomy places the organism in Eukaryota, Metazoa, Chordata, Amphibia, Anura, Pelobatidae.
GCCCUAUCGCCACCGGUUCUGUAUUAGCAUGGGGUCAGGUAUGACCCUAGGUUCCGGCCAGAGCAGUUUGAGCUCUAUAACGGUGGGAUCCAUGGGUCCCAUAUGUCUGGGUAUCUGGUUGUGUGACUGGAGAGGGAGUACCCGAUCUCCUCCAUAGCUCUGAUACGUUCUACUCUAGCGAACCAUUCCUCUAUUGGGGGUGGGGUCUGUUGGUUCCAGUACUUGGUAAUAAGGGCUUUGGCUGCUGUCCACAGAUAGAAUUCUAGAGAGUUGUGAUAAGCCUUAAUAGGUCUUGGGGACAGGUGUAGUAAUAUUUCCGAAAAGGAGGGUGGUUUCGGUAUCGUGGCCAAGGUGGUUAUCACUGUUAUUAUGGUGUCCCAGUAUGGACGCAGUACCGCACAUUCCCACCAUAUAUGCAAGUAGGUGCCUCUGUUCCCUCCACAUCUCCAACAAACAUCUGGGACCUGCUGAUAGAUACAGUGUAACUGCGUGGGUGUCCCAUACCAUCUGCCAUAGGCGAGUGCACGGGGUGUGUCUGGGCACACCCUAAUCCCCGAGGCACGCCUAUGGAUUGAGACCGGCAGAGGAGAUCUCAGUAUCUCCCCUGUCAGCUGAUGCAGAGCGGGCGCUAUCUGAGCGCCGGCUCUGCUCUAAACCUCCC